UGUGCCCUCUUAUUCUUCACAUAAAAAAUAUUUUUAUAUAAUUUUUCUCAUAUCUAGAAGCUUUUUUUAUAUCUCAUCUAUUUUUUUUAAAUUAAAAAUUGAUUGAUUUAAAUUUGAGUUCAAAUGGAUUUGAAUUUGAAUGAAAACCUAGAGUCCAAAUUGAGUUGGACUCUCCUCUUCACGCCACCACCUUUUUUCAUGCAU
Molecule: long non-coding RNA, 204 nt
Filed under: Elaeis guineensis (African oil palm)
Lineage: Eukaryota; Viridiplantae; Streptophyta; Magnoliopsida; Arecales; Arecaceae
Description: long non-coding RNA (EGUI_LNC081763)
Source: RNAcentral